AUACGUAGGGUGCAAGCGUUAAUCGGAAUUACUGGGCGUAAAGCGUGCGCAGGCGGUUUUGUAAGACAGAGGUGAAAUCCCCGGGCUCAACCUGGGAAAUGCCUUUGUGACUGCAAGGCUAGAGGACGGCAGAGGGGGUUGGAAUUCCGCGGGUGAGCGUGAAAUGCGUAGAUAUGCGGAGGAACACCGAUGGCGAAGGCAAUCCCCUGGGCCUGUACUGACGCUCAUGCACGAAAGCGUGGGGAGCAAACAGGAUUAGAUACCCUGGUAGUCCACGCCCUAAACGAUGUCAACUGGUUGUUGGGUCUUCAUUGACUCAGUAACGAAGCUAACGCGUGAAGUUGACCGCCUGGGGAGUACGGCCGCAAGGUUGAAACUUAAAGGAAUUGACGGGG
RNAcentral lists this ribosomal RNA (395 nucleotides) under uncultured bacterium. RNAcentral describes it as "partial 16S ribosomal RNA". It matches the Rfam family "Bacterial small subunit ribosomal RNA", at positions 523 to 918 of the family's 1533-position model. The record is from RNAcentral.